GGGCUCGUAGUCGAAUGUUUUUUCUAAUUUGAAUUAAAACAGAUAACGGUUAAGACGCUUGUCUUACACACAAGAGAUCCGAGGUUCGAUUCCUCGCGGGCCCA
Molecule: transfer RNA, 104 nt
Filed under: Microcaldota archaeon
Lineage: Archaea; Nanobdellati; Microcaldota
Description: tRNA-Val
Rfam family: tRNA
About the family: Transfer RNA (tRNA) molecules are approximately 80 nucleotides in length. Their secondary structure includes four short double-helical elements and three loops (D, anti-codon, and T loops).
Source: RNAcentral